GACGAACGCUGGCGGCGUGCUUAACACAUGCAAGUCGAACGGAAAGGCCCUGCUUUUGUGGGGUGCUCGAGUGGCGAGCGGGUGAGUAACACGUGAGUAACCUGCCCUUGACUUUGGGAUAACUUCAGGAAACUGGGGCUAAUACCGGAUAGGAGCUCCUGCUGCAUGGUGGGGGUGGGAAAGUUUCGGCGGUUGGGGAUGGACUCGCGGCUUAUCAGCUUGUUGGUGGGGUAGUGGCUUACCAAGGCAUUGACGGGUAGCCGGCCUGAGAGGGUGACCGGCCACAUUGGGACUGAGAUACGGCCCAGACUCCUACGGGAGGCAGCAGUGGGGAAUAUUGCACAAUGGGCGGAAGCCUGAUGCAGCAACGCCGCGUGCGGGAUGACGGCCUUCGGGUUGUAACCCGCUUUCGCCUGUGACGAAGCGUGAGUGACGGUAAUGGGUAAAGAAGCACCGGCUAACUACGUG
RNAcentral lists this ribosomal RNA (468 nucleotides) under uncultured bacterium. RNAcentral describes it as "partial 16S ribosomal RNA". It matches the Rfam family "Bacterial small subunit ribosomal RNA", at positions 28 to 507 of the family's 1533-position model. The record is from RNAcentral.